This 90-nucleotide transfer RNA is filed under the name Lentinula edodes (shiitake mushroom). Its description in RNAcentral is "tRNA-Ser". It matches the Rfam family "tRNA". Rfam says of the family: Transfer RNA (tRNA) molecules are approximately 80 nucleotides in length. Lineage: Eukaryota; Fungi; Basidiomycota; Agaricomycetes; Agaricales; Omphalotaceae. The record is from RNAcentral.
GCUGGAAUGGCCGAGUCGUUAAGGCGAUAGAUUUGAAUUGUCAUUAUCUAUUACUCUCUGAGUGCGUAGGUUCAAAUCCUGCUUCCAGCG